AUGAACGCUGGCAGCGUGCCUAAUACAUGCAAGUCGCGCGAACAGACGAGGAGCUUGCUCCUCUGACGUUAGCGGCGGACGGGUGAGUAACACGUGGAUAACCUACCUAUAAGACUGGGAUAACUUCGGGAAACCGGAGCUAAUACCGGAUAAUAUAUUGAACCGCAUGGUUCAAUAGUGAAAGACGGUUUUGCUGUCACUUAUAGAUGGAUCCGCGCCGCAUUAGCUAGUUGGUAAGGUAACGGCUUACCAAGGCGACGAUGCGUAGCCGACCUGAGAGGGUGAUCGGCCACACUGGAACUGAGACACGGUCCAGACUCCUACGGGAGGCAGCAGUAGGGAAUCUUCCGCAAUGGGCGAAAGCUUGACGGAGCAACGCCGCGUGAGUGAUGAAGGUCUUCGGAUCGUAAAACUCUGUUAUUAGGGAAGAACAAAUGUGUAAGUAACUAUGCACGUCUUGACGGUACCUAAUCAGAAAGCCACGGCUAACUACGUG
RNAcentral lists this ribosomal RNA (496 nucleotides) under uncultured bacterium. RNAcentral's name for it is "partial 16S ribosomal RNA". It matches the Rfam family "Bacterial small subunit ribosomal RNA", at positions 29 to 507 of the family's 1533-position model. The record is from RNAcentral.